UUGUUGGUGGUGCAGAAGAGAUGAGUGAAGUGCUUAGAAUUGGUGUGAAGUGCACUGCUGAGGCACCAUAUGUUAGGCCUAAUAUGAAGGAGGUUCUUGAUAUGUUGAUUGGGAUAUACUACUCCAAAGGUUAUCCUUCAAGCCAUGGAAUCAUUGUUUAGUCUCUCUCAUUUUUGUAGUUAAAAAAAUGUGCAUAGUGUUCUGUUAAGAUGUAGUAUAGUCUUAGAUAUAAAAUGUUUCAUGCAGAAAAUUUCAUUCAUUGUCUUAACAUUGUUCUGAGAAUUAAGAGAUGUCUUUUGUUUCUUAUUUCAAUUGUUACCUAGAGAAAUCAAUAGUGUACAGUACAGGUUAUGCUAAUUCAUUUGCUUGAUAACAUUUUAUCAUGCAAAAUUGUUUGGUAUCACUGUAUCACAGUGAUUCUAAUGUUGAAUAAACCUAACUACCAAAACAUGCUGGUUUAUUGAUCUUAGUGUCUUAUGUAGUAUUUUCCUUCACAUCCUUUUCAAUAUACUUUUUCUUUGUAUCUUUUCAUUCACCAAGUUGUUGAUACAGACAAUAUUUUUGUCAUUAUUGCAACAUUUGUUGCACUAAUGAAUCUUAGUGGUAUCAGUCAUUACAUGUUAAUGCCAGAGUAUGUGAAAGAUAACUGGAAUAAAAUUAUAAAAGGCACCAGAAAUUCUUUAACGAGGUCCAUAUAUAUGUUAUUGUUAACUUCCUCCAUUCAAAUCCAAUUCCAUUCAUUUCAUCAAAUGCAUCCUUUACAGUUUGAAAGAUUCUUUACUAUUUUUAUAGUAUUAGUAAUUAAAUUUGGAAAAUAUUAGAGAGCAACAUUUUUAGUAAAAAGAUAAAAAAAAAAAAUAGUUAAUAUUGACUCAAAUACAAAAUAAAAAUGUUAAUUGUAUGAUAUUUCUGAUUAAAUUUAUAAAAGUGUGACCUGGUCCUAUAUAUCCGCGUCUUGAGGCUUAUUUCAAAAGAAAAAUAGCAAUCAAUUAUACUCUGCAGACAAAUGUCAAUUUUUUUUGCUAUUACUAUUUCCCAUACAAUCAUAACAAAAUAAAAUAAAAAUAAAAAUGAAUGACUAUAAUAGGCCUAUAUUAGAUAUAUACAAAAUUUUAACCACUAAAUUAAUUAUUAGUAUAAAAUAUAUGUUAAAAUAUUAAAUAUAUAUUAAAGUAAACUAAAUAAUAUAUAUACUAACACAUAAAUAUAGUAUCAACUGAUUUUGUUUAUGUAUGUAAUAUUUUUGAAUAGACAGUGUCUGCUAUUAUUUAUUAAAGAUUAGUUAAAGAGAGUUUGUAUAUAGAAAAGAGUUUCGAAAAUAUUUCAAUAAAAGAAUAAUAUUUACAAAUUUUUUUAAUCUAAAACUAAAGUACUUAAUUAUUAUAGGAUAAAAUAUAUUUUGUGUCCUAAUAUUUGUGACUUUUUUAAAAAAUAUUCCUAAUAUUUAAUUUUAUUCAAUUUUAUUCUUAAUAUUUUUAAUUCAUUUAAUUUUUUUCUAAUAUUUUUNNNNNNNNNGUAUUAGAAUGAAAAUUUGAAGUAUAUUUUAGGUGUAUAAUUUUUUUUUUAUGCAUAAAUUUUUUUAUUGACUAAUUUUUAUUGUUCUUUCAACAAGAGUGAGGUUGCAUAUUUCUGUGUGUAGAAACCACAAUAUAUAACAUUCGUAUGAAUUGUCUGUAGCUAAUGUUUGCUUGUUCUUGCUGAAUCCAUCUCCAAAAGAAAAUAUACAAGAUCACACAAGCAUGCAAAUUUAGUCUGAGAAUCAUCAUUUAAUUUGUACAUUGAAGAUAUAGAUAAGAUCGUCUACUAUUUUAGAUGAAUUUUUAUUAUUAGUUCAAACUCCUUUUUGUUUCCUUUUUUUUUUGGUAUUUUCUUUUUACUACCAUUUUUUUAAUUAGCAAAACCAUAUCAAAUUGGAUAGGAACAAAUAUGGAUUCACUACUUAACAAAAAUUCUACAAACGACAGCUAGACUCAUUAGAGUUAGUUGCAUUUGCAUAUAGGUUAAUUAGGGUAGUGAUGGUGGAGAAAAUAAUUAGGGGAUCAGAUCAGAUUAGAGCAAAUUGAUGACGUUUAUAGAGGCUAAGUGCAUUUCAAGUCAUGAAUAAUAAUAAUAGAGGCAUAUAUUGCCAUGUAUUUCAUGAUUAUUGUCCUCUAUUUAGAAGAGAAAAAAAGUCACCACUCAAGUGCUUCUCCACUAAAACUAUACUAGUGUUUCUAUUAGUUACGCAUUUCCAGAAUAAAAGACAUCAGAAUCAUGUGAAACAUGACAAAAAUAGUUACCAUAUUUGGUUAAAAAAAUACAUUAUUUCUUACAAAAAUGUGAGUUUGAUUCCAUUUUUGAAGUAUAGGAAAAAUGUUUAGAUGAUGUGUGUUAAGUUUUAACCAUUGAUAUUAUAUACCUGUAAUAAAAAUUAGUCAUUAAAUUAAUCAUGUGUAUAAUAUAUAUAUACGACUAAUAAUGACGGAACUAAAAUUCUAAUAAUAAAAACCUAAGAUUAUUUUAAAUAUUAUUUAAUAAAAAUAUUACUAAAAUAUAAAAAAGAUGUAACUUUAAUUUUAACAACACUUUAUUGACAUGCAUAUAUAGGCAUAAUGAAUAAAAAGUUGAAGACUUGUUGGGGGAUCAUAGUUAAUGUUAGGGACGGCAAAUAGGUCUAAACUCGUUGGAUCGAUCCGCAUAACCCGUUAAAAAGGCAAGUCGGACUGAAAAAUUGAGACCGUCACACAUCAAAAGCCCGUCUUACCCGUACCGCUUAAACCGUGGGUUUUAGCAGACUUUGGCGGGGUAGACUUUUCCGUCGGACUUAGAAUUUUUUUGAAGAUGUUCAAAUUUAGUGUUUUGGAUUAUAUUUUACGUUUGAUUGAUAAUGUUCUAAAUUUGUAGAUGUUUAAUUAUAUAUUUUGGACAAGAUUUAUUUUAUUUUGGACAAUGUUGAUUUUAUUAUUUUGUUUCAAAAAAUUUGAUUUAUGAUUAUGUUUAUUACAUAUUUAUAAUUAUAAAGAUUUUAAAGCUUGAAACACAUACACAAGACGAGAAAAUAAUAUGGAGUACCCUCGCAGAGCAACAAGAGAUGUUUCUCUUCAUGAACUCAGCAAAAGGCUUGCUGAGUUUUCUCAAGUGAGAGGAUGGGAUGAAUAUCACAGUCCAAGAAAUCUCCUUUUGGCUCUUGUAAGUAACCACCAAUAUAGUUAGUUAUUAAUAGAUGUUCAAAAAACAUGACUCUUAAUUUUCGACAGGUCGGAGAGGUGGGAGAACUAUCAGAGAUAUUCCAAUGGAAAGGAGAAGUAGGAAAGGGAUUACCAAAUUGGAGUUCAGCUGAUAAGGAGCACUUAGAAGAAGAGCUUUCAGAUGUUCUGCUCUACCUUGUUCGUCUUGCUGAUGUUUGUGGCCUUGAUCUUGGUCAAGCAGCUCUUGCAAAAAUAAUCAAGAAUGCUCAAAAAUACCCUCUUGUUACUAAUCAUAAUGAUCAUCACCACAACCCUGAACCCAAAUUAGAAAAGUUAAAUUCUGAGUAAUGUGAUCUUUUGUAGUUCAAAAUAAUGAUUGAACAUGAAACAUCUAUCAUAGGAAGACAUACCUCUCUCACCACUAUUGUUGUCUUGUAACAUGUUUAGUUGUUUAAUUAGUUUGAGUCUACUAUCCGCCGUGUAACACCAAAUUAAUAAUCAUGAUGUGUGGUUUGGUUAAUAGUACACAGUCACUUGACAAUGUUAGGGGUGUCCGCGGAUCGGAUCGGAUCGGAUAUGGCCGAAAAUUCGAUCCAAUCCGCAUAAUUUUCAUCGGAUCGGAUCGGAUAUGAUAUCCGCACUUUUUAGUGCCGGAUCCGAUUCUUUGCGGAUCGGAUCGGAUUGGAGAUCGGAUAUAUCCGCAUAAUUAAACAUUCUCUUUUUAAUCAUAUUUCUAUGUAAAAGAAUUCGAUAAAAAUAUUUCUUUCAUACUUUUAAACUUAUUUAUUCCUAAAAUAUUUUUAAUCAAACACUCUCUAAAUAACAAAAAUAAAAUAAUACAAUAUAUGAAUAAUAAUUACUAACUAAAAUAUACAAAUAAGUAAAUAUAAUACCAAACAUAUAUAUAUAUAUAUAUAUAUUUUAAUUAUUAUAGUGCGGAUCUGCGGAUCCGCGGAUCAGAUACGCAGAUGUAGAGCAGAUAUCCGCGAUCCGAUCCGCAAAGGGUGCGGAUCGGAUUCGAUUCGAUCCCAUCAAUUUGCGGAUCGGAUCGUAUCCGUAAUUUUCGGAUCGGAUACGGAUAUUUACCGCAGAUCUGCGGAUACGAUCCGAUCCAUGGACACCCCUAGACAAUGUGUUCUAAUAUACUUUUAUUAGCUAGUGGUUCCUUGUGGAACAGAGCAUAUAUUUUUG
RNAcentral lists this long non-coding RNA (4358 nucleotides) under Arachis ipaensis. RNAcentral describes it as "long non-coding RNA (AIPA_LNC000175)". The record is from RNAcentral. Lineage: Eukaryota; Viridiplantae; Streptophyta; Magnoliopsida; Fabales; Fabaceae.